GGUCUUUUGUUUAUUUAUAUAAGAUCUAACCUGCCCAUUGAUUAUAAAAAAUUAAAAGGCUGCGGUAUUUUAACUGUACGAAGGUAGCAUAAUCAUUUGUCUUUUAAUUGGAGACUAGUAUGAAUGGUUUGAUGAAAAAUAAACUUUCUUUUUUUAAUUUAAAAUGAAUUUAAUUUUUUAGUUAAAAAGCUUAAAUUUUUUUAUAGGACGAGAAGACCCUAUAGAAGUUUACUUUUUUUAAAAUAUUUUAUUUUUAGUUAAUAUAUUUAAAUAUUUGAAUGAAAAGUUUUGUUGGGGUGACAUUAAAAUUUUAUUAACUUUUAAUUUUCUAUUCAUAAAUUUAUGUAUUUUUGAUCCAGAAUUUUUGAUUAAAAGAUUAACUUACCUUAGGGAUAACAGCGUAAUUUUUUUGGAGAGUUCAUAUCGAUGAAAAAGUUUGCGA
This 442-nucleotide ribosomal RNA is filed under the name Euvelia sp. JD-2008. Its description in RNAcentral is "partial 16S ribosomal RNA". The record is from RNAcentral. Lineage: Eukaryota; Metazoa; Arthropoda; Insecta; Hemiptera; Veliidae.